GCAAAGAAGUUCAAGUCUUCGACUAGGUCUUCCACGGCCAAAUCGCAUGGCCUACCCAAUCUGCGUGAAUCGUCUUGCCGUUUAUAUGGCCAUUUUUGGGUAGACUCUUCAGAACAUUAUUGGCGGCUAUCAUCUUCAGUAACUAAUCUGAAUCCCUUCAAUUUCUGGUUUUCUUCAUUGACCUCCCCAAAUCACACACACAACGCACUAAUCUCGCUGAUUGUUUCGGUGAUACUGUCGAUGUAGGAGAUGUUAUUUACAAGGGGAGUGUCCCGUAUAUCGAGGACAUGUUACUGCCGGCGUCAAUGGGCGUUCUCUUCUUUACGUAAUAACGAGCAGCAAUUGGUCCAGCAUGACAACCAAUUUCUCUUCCCCUUGCGCUCUUCUGAGGAGGUUUGGCGUUUCAGAGCAAUUCAUUCUUUGGUUUCAAGUGCUCUAAGUGGUGUGGGACAACAAGCUCAUGAUCAAAGUAGUUCUGUAAUUGAGAUUUUAUUCCAGAUAGUUUAGCUGUGCUUUAUUGGUUCUAAAAUCCAUGGAACAGAGACAUUGUUGUUUUACCGUUCAAUUUCUGUCUCAGAAGCGAUUAGAUCCAUUUUCUCCAGUUGCCGAUGAAAGUCAAUUCUUGCGAAUAAUCUAAGGUCCAUGGUAAUUGCAGAGGUCCCAAAGCUCGCCACUGCUGCAGAGUACUUCUUCAAGAUGGGAGUAGAAGGAAAGAGAUUUCGACCGAUGGUGAGAUCUUCAUUUUCAAUUACGUGUCAUCAUGUUCGCGCUUCAUAGGAGAAGAGAGUCCAUAAAGUUCUAAUUUCUCAUUCAAGAUUUUCAUUUCCUGACAUCUAGGCUACAUUGCCUUAUUGAUUUUGGCUAAUCUUCUAUGCAUGUCUGGGAUUGUAUAUUUUUAUCUUCGAAAGGUUGACUAUUCAAUUGUUGGCAAUUUCAUCGUUUUGGUCACAAACAGGUGAAUGAGCCUUUCACAAA
Molecule: RNA transcript, 975 nt
Organism: Olea europaea var. sylvestris
Lineage: Eukaryota; Viridiplantae; Streptophyta; Magnoliopsida; Lamiales; Oleaceae
Gene name: solanesyl diphosphate synthase 3, chloroplastic/mitochondrial-like
Exons: 4
Source: RefSeq, a predicted model, not a curated record